RNAcentral lists this ribosomal RNA (829 nucleotides) under uncultured organism. RNAcentral describes it as "SSU rRNA". It matches the Rfam family "Bacterial small subunit ribosomal RNA", at positions 24 to 834 of the family's 1533-position model. The record is from RNAcentral.
UCAUGACGAACGCUGGCGGCGUGCCUAAUACAUGCAAGUCGAGCGGUCGAUUCAAAAGCUUGCUUUUGAAUCGUUAGCGGCGGACGGGUGAGUAACACGUGGGCAACCUGCCCUGUAGACGGGGAUAACACCGAGAAAUCGGUGCUAAUACCGGAUAACACGGAAGACCGCAUGGUUUUUCGUUGAAAGGCGGCGCAAGCUGUCGCUACAGGAUGGGCCCGCGGCGCAUUAGCUAGUUGGUGAGGUAACGGCUCACCAAGGCGACGAUGCGUAGCCGACCUGAGAGGGUGAUCGGCCACACUGGGACUGAGACACGGCCCAGACUCCUACGGGAGGCAGCAGUAGGGAAUCUUCCGCAAUGGACGAAAGUCUGACGGAGCAAUGCCGCGUGAGCGAAGAAGGCCUUCGGGUCGUAAAGCUCUGUUGUUAGGGAAGAACAAGUACCGCAGUCACUGGCGGUACCUUGACGGUACCUAACGAGAAAGCCACGGCUAACUACGUGCCAGCAGCCGCGGUAAUACGUAGGUGGCAAGCGUUGUCCGGAAUUAUUGGGCGUAAAGCGCGCGCAGGCGGUUCCUUAAGUCUGAUGUGAAAGCCCACGGCUCAACCGUGGAGGGUCAUUGGAAACUGGGGGACUUGAGUGCAGAAGAGGAGAGCGGAAUUCCACGUGUAGCGGUGAAAUGCGUAGAGAUGUGGAGGAACACCAGUGGCGAAGGCGGCUCUCUGGUCUGUAACUGACGCUGAGGCGCGAAAGCGUGGGGAGCAAACAGGAUUAGAUACCCUGGUAGUCCACGCCGUACACGAUGAGUGCUAAGUGUUAGAGGGUAUC